This is a long non-coding RNA of Melospiza melodia melodia, 4074 nucleotides long. RefSeq lists it as uncharacterized. The transcript is spliced from 2 exons. NCBI's taxonomy places the organism in Eukaryota, Metazoa, Chordata, Aves, Passeriformes, Passerellidae. The record is from RefSeq and is a predicted model, not a curated record.
ACCAUCCCAGCACUUUGGGAAACGCCAAAAUCCCACUUUGGGAAACUCCACCCCAGCACUGCACACAGCAGCAGAGCUCAGACUCCCCAGGGCUCAUUUCUCAGGGCACCCACAGCACUAACAGCACCACCAGCACCUGACUUCCGAUUCUGGAAGGGAGCUGCAUCCCUCUUACCACCUAAUUCCCCUCUAAACUCUGCUGUUUGCAUGAUUUAUACCCAAUGCAGACAAGGUCCAGGAUCUGUGCCCACAGCACCCUCUCAUGGAUGAGGGAUGGGUAAGGGCAGAGCCGUGAGCCCACCCUGUGCCCCCAAACCUUCCCUGGGGGCUGGGCACCUCCCCACCAUGACAUCAUGAUGGAUCCCAGCACAUUUGGCCAUCUCAGGAGAAAGAACCAGCAACCAGCACCAGUCCCAACUCAUCCCAAGGCACUUCUGUUCAUUCCCCAUGCCCAUUUCCAUGAUACAUCCAGCUGGACCAUCCCAGCCAUCUCUGGUCUAAUGCAGGUGCCAGCAGGCAGGGAUGCAUCUUCCCAGGAAUUUCGCCAGCUCUCUCUUCCAUGAGCCUUAAAUAUUUUGGAGACAAAAUCCUUGCCAGUUUGUAAAGAUGAUGCCUCAUGUUCCCCAGAACCAGAUCUCUGAGAUCCAUCUGGGCUUGGCAUCAUCCCCUUGGACAUUUUGGGGCUGGGAAAGGGGUUGCUGAUUCAAGUUAAACAAUAACAGUCAGGCUGGCCUUGCUCCCUGCUCUAUGGAAUGGAACUCCAGAAUAUCUCCCUGCCUUGAACAGGUGAAAAACUUGCUAGAGAAGGCAACUCUUGAACUGGCUUUUUGACAGUUUCAUGCACAUCGCUGUGGGCAUCACACCUGCACUGAGGGGCUCUGGGGACUGAAGUUUAUCUCUAGGGUGCUUGGAGAGCUGUGAGCAAGAACACAGCCCAGUAACAAAAUCCUUAUUCUUAGCAAUAAACCAACCCUUUUCCUUUUCAUUGAAGUGCUAAAUUUGAGGCCAUGGUAGUUGCUCCACCCCCCAGAAAACCCAUCUCAGAUGAGUUUUGCUCUGACUUCACUGUGCACCAUGACCUACCUGAUUAAUCACUUAACAAAAAAACUGAACGAAGUAUGUCUGCUAAAUAGCUCCUUUUCCUUCAGCAGCUUGGGCACUUGGGCAAUUUUACAGAAGAAAAAUGUGCCAGUAAAGGCCAAAAAUGGUGGAAGAGCCAUUCCUUAAUGACUUGAAUAUUUGCUGAAACAAGGCAGCACCCUUGCCUGUGGCCUCCAAACCAGCCAAGCAUUCACAAGAUGUGGAUCCUAUUCAAGUUUUUAAAGCUUUAGUUCCCAUCUCCUCCCAUGGGCAGAGAUGCCACUCACUGUAUUGGCUGCUGGUUGGCACCAGCAGGAUGCAAGGAGUGUCUCACAAACAGGAACACAUCACUGGAGUAUUUUGGAUUUCACAGCUUGCUUUUGCUCCCAUGAAUAGCAGAUCUAGCAGUGUUUCCCUGCCUGUUAAAGCAGCUCCUGGUGCAAGAAGCUGUUCCUCUGAGCAUCCUGUCUCACAGCAGGACUUCCUCUGUGGGCUUGGCUCCAAGUCUGCAAAACAAGACUUAAAUCUCCACUAAAAAGGGAGCUACCUUGAAUUACAGAAACUUUCAGGCAUGGGGAACUUUGUGAACAUCCUCUUGCUUGGGCUUGCCCUUCCAGCUGUUAGAAACAUCUCCAGCUGUGUUUCCCCAAGAGCUGGCUAAGAUUUGGCAAUGGAAAUGCAAUGAAAGUUCAAAAAUGUGCUACUCACAGGCAGAGUGGCUGCAUCAGCAGGGCUGGACCAGCAUCACUGCAUCCCUGGCAUGAGCCUGCUCUGUGUGACCAUGCUCACUACACCAACACGAGGUACACAGAAAACACUGCUUUAUUGACUGCAUUAGCCAACACAUUGAGGAAUGCAAAGGGGUUUCUUUUCAUAAGCAAUGGGCCAUGGUCCCAAUGUGUAUUAAAGCAUACACUGUAUCUAAACAGGAUGAAAAUAAUGGCAGACAGAGCUAUUCCAAGGCAACACAAAUAGCAUGCAUAAUACAGUCUCACACAGAACGAGUUUGAUAACAUUAUAUUGCUUUAAGGAUUAACUAACAUGGAAAAUGUACAAAAAGGAGAAAUAGGUUUUUGCAUUAAUGAAAAAUACAUUUUUUCUCUACAAAGGAAUUUCUAAUACAAGAAAAUAAAUAUUGCAACAUAAGCCAAAAAUAAUUUAAAAUUGCUCUUUUCAAUAUAUUUUCAAUAUUUCUCUUUUGUAUUAACAAAUGGCACAUCACGUUCUUUGAAACAAAGAAAACAGAAGGGUUUCUCCUCCUGUGACAUUCAUAUCGUUUCCUGUAACUGAUGUGAAGUGGGUUGGUUUGCAUGUGGAAUGGUGCAAACUGCAGGGGAUUUCCUUAAAGAACAACCAAACCUCAUGCCCUGCCCUGUAGCAGCAUCUUCCUGCAGCAUCUUCCAUCCUGGCUCCAUUCUGCAUCCAACCUUGGGGUGAGCUCCAUGGGACAGCAGGCAUCCUAACCCCAUAACAUAGGUGCAAAUGAAAAAAGAAAAAAAAAAAGAAAAAUUAAAAAAAAAAUCAAAAGAUGGGUGUGGGGAAAAUGGGAGUGUGGAAUGGGAGCUGCCCUGGGGAAACUCCCUCAGCCAUCAGGGCUGGGGCUGGUGAGGGGCUGUGCUCCAUCAGGGAAUGAUGCUUUCUGCAUCCUCAUCUCAACAGCGGCUGCUUCUCCAAGGAAACAGGUGCUCUUACAGUGCAAAUGUCAGUUCCUGCAGUUUAUACAUCUUAAAAGAUAACAUUUCUGUACUAAAAUAAACCUUUUUUUCUUCUCUUUCUAUUCAUUUCAAAAUACAUUUACAUUAACAUCAAAAAUAUUUUCCUUGUGCAUUUUCUCUCCAGAACACCAGACUCCCCUGCUCCCAGGACGCUCCAGGCAGGGGAUGCUCUGGGGUGGCUGCAGCCAUCCUGCCAUGGUCCAGCCCUUGCUCAGCCCCAAAGCUCACCAGAGCCCUUUUCCUCCUCUCUAUUCCUGCCAUCCCAUUCUUCUCCCUGUGCCCCACCAGCUUGCUUAGCUUUUCCCCCAUCUCCCGAUGGCAAAACAUGAUGCCUGAUAUUUUGGAAGUGUUUCAAACUGUGCUAUUGCCCAAUGUUGGAGGUGCCAGGUUGGUUGUUCUUUAAAGUUUCCCCAUUUUUGCUUUCCUGUACUGAGAAGACAAGUAGUGCAGAAGCUGAUGAAUGGAACUGUGUACAGUGAAAUUUGUGGAUUGCUUUUUUUUAACCAUAAUUGAGUGAAGCACACGGAAGCAAGAUUCAUUAAAAGGCAGCAUAUUGAUUAUUGUUAUGACUCGUAUACUAGGAUACUGGAGCUAAAGCUAGCAAGCCUGAUAAGAUAAACUAAGUCCUAUUUACUGUAUUUAACAUUAUCUGAACAUACUGAGCCUUAAUUAAUGAGCAGAUUUUCAUUUCCAACCUCAAUGGAUUAUGCUAAUUUAUAACAAAGGUAGUUCCUGUUUUGUUGGUAUUUUGCUGUUUUUUUGUUUUCUUUUGUUUUUUCCCCCACUAAUAACUUGUGUCACAUUUCUCCCAUCUGAGGAAGAUUCCUUCCCAGGCACGGUCAGUCUCAGCCAGGUGAGUGCUGGGCUCAGGCAGGGCUGGGCAUCCCACCCGCAGCCCCCACCGGUCGCCGUGUCUGGGAUCAGCUGGGCUGUCAUCGCUGAUCUUUGCUGCAAUUUGAUCAAUAAUAAGGACUUUGGAAGGCUGAUAAAGAUGAUGAUCUACUCUAAAACACCAAUCGAAAUAGUCUCAGAGUUUCAAAAAGAAAGCUCACAGUGAAAUGAGCAAAAAGCAUCGGAAACCAAAAUGGCAGGAUGCGGUCUCGGAGCAGCAGCAUCCCUCGGAGCAAGCUUGGAACCUAACGCCGCAGCAGUGUGGUAUGAGUGUGUCUUUAGUCCUUGGUUGCUAAAUAACUUCCAAUUUAUUUUUUUCAUAAUGACAAGUUUCCGGUUUCUGGCUGUGCUGCUUGACUGUCAAAAUAUUUCUUUGGCAUCCACAAAA